RNAcentral lists this long non-coding RNA (1026 nucleotides) under Homo sapiens (human). RNAcentral's name for it is "HSALNT0300398". Lineage: Eukaryota; Metazoa; Chordata; Mammalia; Primates; Hominidae. The record is from RNAcentral.
AUUGUUGCCAUCACCAUGAUCACCAUCAUUGUCAACCAUUUAUCUAACACCUACCCAGUGUGCGUGCUGAGGCUGGAGAGAAGGAUAAGAGGUGGUCCUGCCCUCGGGGCUUGCAGUCGGCUGGGAUGAUAAGUCCUGCAGAAAUUUAGUGGCCGAGCUGCCACUAGAGCUCAGGUCUCUCUCUGGACUCCCAGACCAGGGCUUAUCCUGUUAUAUUGUGGCCUCUUCUAUUCUAUCGCCACAGUCACACGGGGAGAGGAGUCUGUCGGGAAAACAUGCACCCUCUACAAAGGAGUGAUUCAGAUGACCUGGUCUCAGCUUCCAGCUCCUCUGCUCUCCAGCCGUUCACACACUCCCCAUCACAGGAAGAUUUGUUAAAAGCCAACCAAGAAAGAGAGAGAAUUUGAGAUCCUGCACAAACAAUCCUAGAAGGUGCCAGAAGCUGCCAGAAGCUUCUUCUUUUCCAAGAAGCCACCACUUUGACUGCAGCCACAAAUGACUGCCCACUCCUGCAGGAAGACAGGAGGACCCCAGAGCCCUAUGUGCUCUGCCCCUGUCUACAGACCUGCCUCUCACCGCAUGCCCACAGUCACCACAUGUCAGCCAUGGCAAACUACCUGGGGACCCCCAAGCGACCUGCUUGUGGGGCUCUGCACCCUGGUGCCAGUUCUUCUUUUAGCCUGGGGUCCUCCACCUGCCCUCUGCCUCAAUGGCUCAGUAGAGCCUUCAGAGCUCACAUAUCAGCUCCUCCAAAAAGUGGUGCCGGACCCUGCCUCCCGUCCCUGAAAACCGAGCUUGCACUGUCACAUUUAACAUGUUGUGCCUGACCUAUUCUUCUACACUUCUGUCCUCGUGACGUGGGGUCUGCUGGAGGCCAGUGAAUGUGAAUUUUAUCUUUGUACUUGCAGGGCACAACACGACACUAGGUAUGGAUUAGAUGCUCAGUAACAAUUUUAAACUGGUUUAAAAGUAAUUCCAACAUUGCAGAAGGGUCUAAGGCAAAAAAUGAAUAAAAGUUUCCUGCCA